This 253-nucleotide ribosomal RNA is filed under the name uncultured bacterium. Its description in RNAcentral is "partial 16S ribosomal RNA". It matches the Rfam family "Bacterial small subunit ribosomal RNA", at positions 524 to 776 of the family's 1533-position model. The record is from RNAcentral.
UACGGGGGGGGCAAGCGUUGUCCGGAUUUAUUGGGCGUAAAGAGCGUGUAGGCGGCCAGACAGGUCAGCUGUGAAAACUCGAGGCUCAACCUCGAGACGUCGGUUGAAACCGUCUGGCUAGAGUCCGGAAGAGGAGAAUGGAAUUCCUGGUGUAGCGGUGAAAUGCGCAGAUAUCAGGAGGAAUACCGAUGGCGAAGGCAGGUCUCUGGGCUAUAACUGACGCUCAUGCACGAAAGCGUGGGGAGCAAACAGG